GCUCUAGGUUGUAGUAUAGUGGUGAGUAUUCCCGCCUGUCACGUGGGUGACCCGGGUUCGAUCCCCGGCAACGGCG
This 76-nucleotide transfer RNA is filed under the name Sphenostylis stenocarpa. RNAcentral describes it as "tRNA gene-AYBTSS11_LOCUS26851". The stretch from base 8 to 72 matches the Rfam family "tRNA". Rfam says of the family: Transfer RNA (tRNA) molecules are approximately 80 nucleotides in length. Lineage: Eukaryota; Viridiplantae; Streptophyta; Magnoliopsida; Fabales; Fabaceae. The record is from RNAcentral.